UACGGAGGUGGCAAGCGUUGCUCGGAAUCACUGGGCGUAAAGGGCGCGUAGGCGGGGAGGUAAGUCGGGUGUGAAAUCCCUUGGCCCAACCGAGGAACUGCGCCCGAGACUGCUUCUCUUGAGUCCCGGAGAGGAAGGUGGAAUUCCCGGUGUAGCGGUGAAAUGUGUAGAGAUCGGGAGGAACACCGGUGGCGAAGGCGGCCUUCUGGACCAAUACUGACGCUCAUGUGCGAAAGCGUGGGGAGCAAACAGG
This 253-nucleotide ribosomal RNA is filed under the name uncultured bacterium. RNAcentral's name for it is "partial 16S ribosomal RNA". It matches the Rfam family "Bacterial small subunit ribosomal RNA", at positions 524 to 776 of the family's 1533-position model. The record is from RNAcentral.